Molecule: long non-coding RNA, 807 nt
Filed under: Triticum aestivum (bread wheat)
Lineage: Eukaryota; Viridiplantae; Streptophyta; Magnoliopsida; Poales; Poaceae
Description: long non-coding RNA (TAES_LNC011221)
Source: RNAcentral
UGAACUUUUGUUUUGUACGCUGGGAAAUUUCUGGUGUUAAGGGUCUUCAUUCUUACUUUACCUCUAGGAGCAGUGUUGCGGAAUCGGGUACCGAAAUCUGUGUGCAGAAAAGCUGCUGUUCGAUGCCGGUGGGAGCUAUGCAACCUGUGAAUUAUGUCUUGCCAUCUUCAUUCGUACAAUUAUGCGAUGAACCAGAAUUGGAGGACAGGAUUGCACUCACGAGCAGGUACAAACUUACAGCAUUAUAAUAGCUGUUUCUGUUUUACUAGAUUAUAUAAUCAUGUUCUGCAUUGUAGCUGAGGUUUAUUUGUCCUUCGUUAAUCAUUAACCAACUUGUUUUGCUUAUGUUUUUUAGGGUGGUUAUGGAAUGAAUCUAGCCCCCUUUUUUCGCAAGUAGAAUGAAUCUACCCCCUGUGAAACUGGUUGGAAAGAUAUUUAUUGUGCUUGAUAGAUCUAUAUGUCCUGCCAUGGGUACACCGCCUGUGCCACUUCCACGGGUCUCACUGUCUCAGUUAGUGUCAGGGAGAUGAUCGGGGGUCUAUUCAGCACCUGGAGGCUGCAAAAUUUGCAAAUAGCCAAUUGCUAAUGAAAUGGCAGAGAAACAUCAUCACUAAUUCCAUCCUUCAGUGCAUUUUACAAGUGAAAUGGCAGAAAUAUAUAGUGGUGUCACUUCGAUUGCACGCAACCGAAAGUGUUUCUGAACCAGAAUUUGGGAAGAACCCCGAAACAUGUUCAUGUCUUUUGUAGACGAGAUGUAGCAGUUUCUUAUUAGAUGAUGUUUUCCGUGGAGUAUAUUGAUAAUUCCAG